RNAcentral lists this transfer RNA (96 nucleotides) under Ipomoea nil (Japanese morning glory). It matches the Rfam family "tRNA". From Rfam's summary of the family: Transfer RNA (tRNA) molecules are approximately 80 nucleotides in length. Lineage: Eukaryota; Viridiplantae; Streptophyta; Magnoliopsida; Solanales; Convolvulaceae. The record is from Rfam by way of RNAcentral.
CGGACUUUAGCUCAGUUGGUAGAGCGGAGGACUGUAGUUGGAGUACUAAUCUGAACUAUAAUUCUUAAGUCGCUGGUUUGAAUCUGGCAGGUCGGA